This is a non-coding RNA of Arvicanthis niloticus (Nile rat), 4948 nucleotides long. Lineage: Eukaryota; Metazoa; Chordata; Mammalia; Rodentia; Muridae. The record is from RefSeq and is a predicted model, not a curated record.
GGGACGCUGCAGAACCACGCCCACUGGCCAGCUGCGCAAAAAGCGAAGCUGGAGACUGCAGCGCGCGCAGCCGCAGCUGGACAGACACUGCGGUGUUGGAGGAGUGUCCUGCGCAAUCCCGCACUGCGGCACUCGGCACUCGCGCACUUUGCUUUCCCGCUAGGCGAGUCACCUCAGCUCUGCGCUCUUGGCUGCCUCCAAGGCCUCCAGUCUCCUUUAACCGGGAAAACCCAGGAACCGGGAAGCUAGUGUGCGGGCUUGAUCCUCCCACCUUUGCAAGCUAUGGACCUCCUGGAGUACUCGAAAGGAGAUCGUUGGGUCCUCGGAUUGUUGACACCCGUCCUCCCAAGCUGAUAAGCCCAGGACUCUGGGAGGGGAUGUUAGGACUCCUGUGUGGCGCCUUGCUGUGAACCCCUUCCCAAGGGCUUGCUUUCCUGAUGGGCCUUUGCGCAAGGCCCUCUUGACACCAAGGAUGUUGACGAUGAAGGUUCUGGGGCAGCCAGCGCCACUCCCCCUAUUCUCCGCACUCACUGGUGGAUGCCACUGUCCAGGAAGCAAGUAUCCCGAAUUGACAGCUUGGUGCAGAAGGAUAGAGGUGUCUCUAUCCUGCGAGGAAGCAGCUGGACCACAGCGCUCCCAAGGAGCGUACUACUCAACAUCCGUGUGGCAAGACCAGAGAACAUGAUCGUCUCGCCGUGACCGCUGGCUGGGGUCUUAUCCAGGUGACCAGGAAAACCAAGGUUGCUGCGGUCAACAUGCCUCCAGACCUUGUCGCCAUCAGCUCGCUGUCUAGGAACGCCUUUUUACUUUGGUAGGUAUGCAGAAGGAAGGGCCUUGACUCUGGAGACUUGGGGACCAAAGUUAGAGACUAGAUAGGUCUGCCCCUCCCCUUAGAGAGAGCCACAGAAUGCCAUGUGGCACUGAGGUCCUUGCUCUCACAAAUAAGCACUCGGGAAACCAGCAAUAUUAAACACGCAGGGUUGUCUCUUCAAAGGGAGAGACAUAUAUCCUGUUUUCCUCCCAGAAGGCUGGGAGCGGAGGUGUUUAAUAUCCUGGCGAACUUUGUGCUAUCUGUAUGACCAAGACCAUGCCAGGUUCUCCCCUAGAACCUUAAGAUAUCAUUAUAAUCUGUCAGCUAGGAGGGUGGUGGUACAUGCCUUUACUUCCAGUAUUCUGGUGGCAAAGGCAGGUGGGUCUCUGCAUUCCUCCCCUAAACCCUUAAGAUGUCAUAUGUAAUCAGUCACCUGGGUGGUGGUGGUGCAUGCCUUUUCUUCCAGGACUUGGGUGGCAAGGGUGGGUGAAUCUCUGAGUUCGAGGCCAGCCUGGUCUACAGAGUGAGUCCAGGUCAGCCAGAACUACACAGAGAAACCUUUGUCUCAAAAAACAAAACAAAAAAAAAAAUAAAUAAUUUUUAAAAAGGUGUCACGUGUAGUCAAUCAUCUUUAUGGAAAAUGUCACCUGUACUUUACAGAUGUAGCCAUGACUUAAGCUUUUUUAUGUUGAUCUACCUGGUAUCAGACUCUUGAAGUUUGAACCAACACUUAGCCGGGCGAUGGUGGCGCACGCCUUUAAUCCCAGCACUUGGGAGGCAGAGACAGGUGAAUCUUUGAGUUAGAGGCUAGCCUGGUCUACAGAGUGAGUCCAGGACAGCCAGGAUUACACAGAGAAACCCUGUCUCAAACAUUUAAUUAAGUAAAGUAAACUAAAGUAAUAAAAACACUUGAACCAACGCUGGCUAAUGAAUCAUGUUGAGCCAGAUUGCUUUUUUUUUUAACCUUCCUUGGGUUAUCACCCGGGCUGGUUGAGGUGCCUGCGGGGACCCUCAUGAUGGCGACCAACAUGAGGGGCUCCAGUCUUGGAGACGGUAAGAGACUUUUUCUUUAAAUAGAAUCAAGGGUCACCCAGGAGCAGUGCACACACACCCUCACCCGGAAGGUCACAGGUGAGUGGGAAGAUGAAUUAUGCCUGGGUUCUUCCCAGUCCUGAGACAAAGCAGUUUCUACAAUUACUGAGCUGUUGGUUAAGAUCCAGAGGGGGGAACUAGAGCAACAGCAGUGCAGCUCAGAGCAAGUGUCAGUCAGAUUCAGUCCUUGGUUUCCUGAAAAAGAAACGAUUGAUGCUGAAAAUUGGAAAUGCAGCCAGGUGGUGGUGACGGUCUAUAGAGAAAGUGCCAGGACUACUUAGAGAAACCCUGUCUUGAAAACAAAAACAAAAAAGCAAAAAAGAAAAGAAAAACAGAAAAGAAAAUUGGAAAUGCAUAGGAGUCAGUGUCAAUUGGGCCUGUGAAAGAUGAGAUAAAAUGCGUGCCAAUUAUCUUGCUAGCUGGAGUCCUUGUAUUGUUGUUUGGCUCACACCAUCUGGGGCAACCACUCCGGAGGGAGGAUCGUUAAAAUAAGGUUUUUGUUUUCCCUGCAGGCCGUGUGGACUCUGCCACCGAAGGAUGCUCAGCCAGGAUUGUUCAGGGCUUUUAACCGGCUGGUUCCCCCUCCUUCAUUGUCUUGGUCACGCUGCUUCAUUGUUUUCACUGUCUCGGUCUGUCUAGUCAUGUCCUCACAGCCUUAGCAAAAUAAUCAAUUUUAUCUUGUCCUUUCCAUAAAAAAAAAAAAAAAAAAAAAAAAAAAAUGGUGUUUUUAUUACUUCAAGCCUUUGAGGCAUCAAGAGACCAAACCCCACCCAGAUUCCUUUGCAUUUAUGAUUACUAAAAUUUCAUGUCUUAAAUUUGUAUCUUUGUACAACAGAAAAAAAAUUUAAAAGCAAUGUAAUCAAACUUAACAUGGAUUUAAAAAAAAAUAGGUGCAAAUUGGAACCAAGAAAGAAUAUUUCUUCUGGAUAAUACAGUGGCCAAGGACUGAAAAGCAGAAGUGUAGUCCAUAGGAGUUAGAUUAUUUGAAAGUUUUCACCUAGAAUUAUUUUGGGUACAGUCUGAGAAUAUGUGGAGUAUAGUAAGAACUAGAGCCUUCCAGAAAGUUCUUCUUCCAUGGAAAUGUUAUGCUUUGAUGCUAUUCACAUGUUUGUUUUGCUUGCAGUAUCAGCCGGAUAUGUUCUUUCAUGCUCUCAUGGGACAACCCUGUUGUUUCCCGCUUUGGGAUGGUCUGUGAUUGUUCCUCAGGUACUUUGGAAUCUCCUGUUAACCUGAUAGGAGAGUCUUCUUGAACUCAAAAUUCAAAAUGCCCUAAAUUUUAAAGAUCCUAAAUCUUACAUAAAUAACCUUAGGUUUAAAUCCUUCAAAGUUAACGUGAAUUAAGUAGGUUUUGCUUGUGGUUUUUGGUUUUGUGCUUGCCCUUGGUCUGACAUAAAGGAGCAGACGCUUGACAAGGGAAGAAGUUAGGGGAGGCUCAAGCGCCUCCUUCUGUUCAAGGCUCACAUUCCACAGUAUUCCAAGCUUCUCGUGCAUAUUAGUAGUGAGUGGUUUUUCACCUCAGCGUGACAUCUACAACUGGAGCGUUCUGUGUCUGGGGCCUUCUCUUCUGUCAAGUGUGUAGAGACCUGUGCUCUGUGUAGUCUGCGGGCAUGCAUGAUGCCUCUCCCUAACUAGACAGCGGCAGAAUACAGCCCCAGAUGUGGCCUAGAGUCCUGGGGGCUCCAGGAAAAUACCAUUCUUCAUAUCUUCCACUUGACUUUGUCAAAUAGCUUUUUACACAUUUCUUUCUAGGACUCCCAUUACAACUAAAAGCUGAUAAUUGACCUGCUUACACUAGCAAAUGCUUUAAAUUUUUUUUUGAAGUUUAUGGAGUAUUAAUCAUGUUACUGAACUCCCUUACAACUGACAGUGACAAAGUAUUGUAAAAUAACACAAUCCAAUACUUAAAUUACAAAUUUGAAUUCCCACAUCCUAUGCUACAUUUAGCUAUGCUCACUUUAAAUUUUUUUACUUUAAAAGAUAGUGCUUUUUUUCUGUUCCAAAAGCAUUUCACCGAAAGGAGACACUACCUAGAGUAUAUGUUUAAAAAAUAAAACCUAACAACUAAUCAAUGGAAAGUGCCCGAUGUCCUGCCAUCGAGGCGAGGUUAUGCUUAUGUCUUACAGAAAAUUAAAUGAAGUCCCAGGUGGGUCCUGCUGUGACACGUCGUUGGACAAGGACAGCAUCCCAGAGACCACCAGACUAUCGAGGGCUCUAAGUGAGACGACAAACCCAUCAAGAGGAGAAGUCCCAAGAGGAAGGAAGAGGAGGAAGAUGAAGGAAGAGGAAGGAAGAGGAAGGAAGAGGAAGGAAGAGGAAGGAAGAGGAAGGAAGAGGAAGCCUUUGGAGAGACUUUAACUGGUCAAGCCAAGACUUUGGGGAAACAACAAGGACAUAAUACUGCUGACCCCCGAAAUGUUGUUGCUACAUUCACUCACUGUAUUACGUGUUGAUUCUCAGCCUGUCAGUGCAGAAUCCCAAUACCUUAUGUCACGGGGGAUAAAGGGCGUACCUGUAAUAGGACACAGUAUGACGUUGUCUUGCUGUGCUAAUAAUUGUUUUUAUCCUUUGGGACCAGUUGUCUGGACAAAAGAGAGUAUACAAACAUUCAGACACAUGAAUGGGUGGCAUUUUGGUUAGACUAACAGAGCCAUUCAAAUGUAAUAAUACAGAUUUUAGCUUAAUGCAGUACUCUUUGGAAAGCUCUGAUGGUAGAAAUUAUAGUUGUGCGGAGAUGAAAAAAGGAUUAUGUGAUGUAUCUCUUGCUAAGCUUCAACCAACACCAGCUACUGAGUAGUGUUGAAUCCGACCGACCGCCUUCCUGCCUCCUGUGAAUCCUUGGUCUGUUGGCCUUGGUGGAGGAAGUGGAGGAAGUGGAGGGAGGGGAGGGCUUUGAGAGUUUAAAAGCCUUGCUUCCAGGUUAGUCCCUGCUUUAUGCUUGAUCUUCAAGGUGUGAUUUCUCAGUUCCAUGCCCCUGCUGCCACGCCUGCUGCGUGGACUCAUCUCUCUUCUGGAACCACGAGCCAAAAUAAACACUGUCUUCCUUAA